RNAcentral lists this long non-coding RNA (1143 nucleotides) under Coturnix japonica (Japanese quail). Its description in RNAcentral is "lncRNA (ENSCJPG00005002599.1)". Lineage: Eukaryota; Metazoa; Chordata; Aves; Galliformes; Phasianidae. The record is from RNAcentral.
CGAACCGGGACCCGAACCGGGACCGAACCGGGACCCAGAGACCUGAACCAGGGACUCCCAUUAACAAACCGGGACCCGGAGCCCCGAACCGGGACCCAGAGCCCUGAACCGGGACUUCCAUUGACGAACCGGGACCCGAACCGGGACCGAACCGGGACUUCCAUUGACGAACCGGGACCCGGAACCGGGACCGAACCGGGACUUCCAUUAACGAACCAGGACCCGAACCGGGACCGAACCGGGACUUCCAUUAACGAACCGGGACCCGAACCGGGACCGAACCGGGACCGAACCGGGACCUGGAACCGGGAUCCGAACCGGGUUUCUAUUGAACCGGGACCCGGAACCGGGACUUCCAUUGAUAAACGGGAGCCCGGAACCGGAGACCCGAACCGGGAUCUAACAGAGUCGAACCGGAGCUCGGAACCGGGUCAUUCCAUCUCCGAACCGGGUUUAGAACCGGGACUUCCACAACCGAACCGGAACCGGGACUUUAACCGGGACCCCAGAGCAGCGAACCGGGACUUCUAUUACCAAACUGGAACCGGAGCUCGGAACCGGAGCCGGGUAUUUCUAUUACCGAACCGGAACCGGGUUUGUCCAUUACCGAACCGGGAUUCAGAACCAGAACCGGAACCGGAGACUUUUAGUGUUGAUUUCCACCGCCGAACCGGGCUCAGAACCGGGAUUUUCAUCGUUGAACCGGAUUAUUUCACAUCCGAACCGGGAUCAGAACCGGGAUCAGAACCGGAACCGAACCGGGACCAGAACCGGGGAUUUAUAACCGAAUUAAAGGCUAAAACCGGUUGUUUCAAGCUUAAAACCGCUACUGGAUCCUAUAACCGAACCGGAACCGAACCGGAACCGGAACCGAACCGGGACCAGAACCGGGGAUUUAUAACCGAAUUAAAGCCUAAAACCGGUUGUUUCAAGCUUAAAACCGCUACCGGAUCCUAUAACCGAACCGAACCGGAACUGAAACCGAACCGGGACCAGAACCGGGGAUUUAUAACCGAAUUAAAGCCUAAAACCAGUUGUUUCAAGCUCAAAACCGGAACCGGACCGGAACCGAACCGGAACCGGAACCGAACCGGAACCGAACCGGGACCAGAACCGGGGAUUUAUAACCGAAUUAAAGCCUAA